This 425-nucleotide ribosomal RNA is filed under the name uncultured bacterium. RNAcentral describes it as "partial 16S ribosomal RNA". It matches the Rfam family "Bacterial small subunit ribosomal RNA", at positions 354 to 796 of the family's 1533-position model. The record is from RNAcentral.
GUGGGGAAUAUUGGACAAUGGGCGCAAGCCUGAUCCAGCCAUGCCGCGUGAGUGAUGAAGGCCUUAGGGUUGUAAAGCUCUUUCAGUGGGGACGAUAAUGACGGUACCCACAGAAGAAGCCCCGGCUAACUUCGUGCCAGCAGCCGCGGUAAUACGAAGGGGGCUAGCGUUGUUCGGAUUUACUGGGCGUAAAGCGCACGUAGGCGGAUCGUUAAGUCGGGGGUGAAAUCCUGGAGCUCAACUCCAGAACUGCCUUCGAUACUGGCGAUCUUGAGUCCGGAAGAGGUGAGUGGAACUCCUAGUGUAGAGGUGGAAUUCGUAGAUAUUAGGAAGAACACCAGUGGCGAAGGCGACUCACUGGCCCGUUACUGACGCUGAGGCGCGAAAGCGUGGGGAGCAAACAGGAUUAGAAACCCUUGUAGUCC